GACGAACGCUGGCGGCGCGCUUAACACAUGCAAGUCGAGCGGGAACCGGGCCUUCGGGCCCGGGGACAGCAGCGAACGGGUGAGUAACACGUGGGUAAUCUGCCCUCGGUACUGGGAUAGCCCGGGGAAACCCGGAUUAAUACCGGAUAGCCCUUCGAGCCUUCGGGCUCGCAGGAAAAGGUAGCUUCGGCCUCCGACCGAGGAUGAGCCCGCGGCGGAUUAGCUUGUUGGUGGGGUAACGGCCUACCAAGGCGACGAUCCGUAGCUGGUCUGAGAGGAGGAUCGGCCACACUGGGACUGGGACACGGCCCAGACUCCUACGGGAGGCAGCAGUGGGGAAUCUUGCCCAAUGGGCGAAAGCCUGAGGCAGCGACGCCGCGUGCGGGAAGAAGGCCCUCGGGUUGUAAACCGCUUUCAGGAGGGACGAAGCCGCUCGGGUUAAUAGCCUAGAGGGUGACGGUACCUCCAGAAGAAGCCCCGGCUAACUACGUGCCAGCCGCCGCGGUAA
This 508-nucleotide ribosomal RNA is filed under the name uncultured bacterium. RNAcentral describes it as "partial 16S ribosomal RNA". It matches the Rfam family "Bacterial small subunit ribosomal RNA", at positions 28 to 523 of the family's 1533-position model. The record is from RNAcentral.